This 253-nucleotide ribosomal RNA is filed under the name uncultured bacterium. RNAcentral's name for it is "partial 16S ribosomal RNA". It matches the Rfam family "Bacterial small subunit ribosomal RNA", at positions 524 to 776 of the family's 1533-position model. The record is from RNAcentral.
UACGGAGGGUGCAAGCGUUAUCCGGAUUUACUGGGGUUAAAGGGUGUGUAGGCGGACUUUUAAGUCAGAGGUGAAAUCUCCGGGCUCAACCCGGAAACUGCCAUUGAUACUAUUGGUCUUGAAUGUUGUUGAGGUGGGCGGAACGGGUCAUGUAGCGGUGAAAUGCAUAGAUAUGACCCGGAACACCGAUUGCGAAGGCAGCCCACUAAGCAAUGAUUGACGCUGAGGCACGAAAGCGUGGGGAUCAAACAGG